UUCACAGCCUUCCAAGCCAGAACGCGGCAGCAAAACGCGAUUGGCUGGGGUUGCCUGUCUGGCCUUAUUUAGAAAGCUCUCGAGGAACUGGGAACCUCGAGCGUGGAACCUAGAGUUUGCUUGGCGUUUUGAGGACUGGCUGCCUGGCUACACUGCGGUUCUGGUCAAGCCGAGCAUUUAAAGGGACACGGAAGUUUGUCCUGCUGAGGAGGCAGUCAGGGGCGGCUCCAUCUUGGGCCUACGGGUUUAUUUCACCUGUGCCUUCAAACUUUUAUUAACGUAUUCCAAGUGCAUUUGUGGAAGACGUACUGGACGGGUCAGCGUAGAUGGUGUGGAGCAGGAAAGGUUCGUGCAGCCUAGUGGGUAACUUCACUGCUGCCUUCACAAGCCUGUCCUGGAGACCAGCACUUAAACAAUUAACUUGUAACACGGAGAUGCUCACUGAUAUAUUCUGAGAAUUCUGUCAGUGCCCACUAUGUGCCAGGGAGACAAAGAGUCCGCUUGAGACAGAGGCGUUAAAAAAAACAAAUAAUGACAAAACCAGUUAUUUUCCUCAUGGAGUAGAGAGAAGAGUAGCAGUCUGAAUGAGUCACUUCUUGUCCUAUGCAGAAGCUGGAGGUUUCAGAAGUCUACAUAAGCAUUUAUGGGGAAUAUUGCAGAGAUGUGAUCCAUGGGUCAUGUGGAUUCCUGCUUGAGACCAGGUUAUCAGCAAAGAAGAGAGCGUCCAAGGUAGGGAGAUGGUUUCCAGACCAAAUCCAAUUGAUGAGUGGUGCCUAGGUGGCUCAGUCGGUUAAGUGUCCAACUCUUGAUUUCGGCUCAGGUCCUGAUCUCAUGGUUGGUGAGUCCCCACCUUGUAGGACUGCACACUGACAGCCCACGGAGCCUGCUUGGGAUUCUUUCUGCUGUUUCUGUCCCUCCCCUGCUCGCGUGUGUGUGUGCGCUCUCUCUCUCUCUCUCUCUCUCUCUCUUUCAAGAUAAAUAAAUAAACAUUUAAAAAAUGCA
This 1002-nucleotide long non-coding RNA is filed under the name Felis catus (domestic cat). RNAcentral's name for it is "lncRNA (ENSFCAG00000049532.1)". Lineage: Eukaryota; Metazoa; Chordata; Mammalia; Carnivora; Felidae. The record is from RNAcentral.